CAAAAGUGGAUGCUUCAGAGCAACCGGGACCACCUGAGUCAGAGCCUGCGUCUCUCCGUCAUCCCUGCCCAGUCACUGGUCUCUCUCCCGUCUGACUGCUGGUUCCUUGAGGAGGAACUAGAUCAACAAUGUCGGGCUCAAGCGUUCAUCACCCCUGCCCCCCU
Molecule: long non-coding RNA, 164 nt
Organism: Eubalaena glacialis (North Atlantic right whale)
Lineage: Eukaryota; Metazoa; Chordata; Mammalia; Artiodactyla; Balaenidae
Exons: 3
Source: RefSeq, a predicted model, not a curated record